This 84-nucleotide transfer RNA is filed under the name Pseudomonas aeruginosa. Its description in RNAcentral is "tRNA-Pro". Lineage: Bacteria; Pseudomonadati; Pseudomonadota; Gammaproteobacteria; Pseudomonadales; Pseudomonadaceae. The record is from RNAcentral.
GGGGCUGCUGUUGCGGCCGUUGAGCACCACGCUGCUGGGGCUGGCGUUGGGCGCUCUGGCUGGGCGCCGAGCCCAGCAACUGCA